GCGUGAGCUUCGGCAGAGAGAGCAUCUGUGAGCCAAAUUCACCGGUGCUGGGUUUUAAGGAGAAGAGCCAAGAGUGACACGUGGAGGAGUCCCAGAGGCUUAGUGGUAUAGAUCCACUGUCUCUUUUGGGUAUUUAAUUUAUGAUUUAUAAUGUAUUAUAUUGCCAAUAUUAGGGCUUUUUGUUUAUUGUCAAUUAUAUGAAUAUAUAAAUGUAAUCAUGCCUUUCAAACUA
This is a long non-coding RNA of Prosopis cineraria, 232 nucleotides long. RefSeq lists it as uncharacterized. The record is from RefSeq and is a predicted model, not a curated record. NCBI's taxonomy places the organism in Eukaryota, Viridiplantae, Streptophyta, Magnoliopsida, Fabales, Fabaceae. The transcript has 2 exons.